GUGAGUAACGCGUAUGCAACUUACCUAUCAGAGGGGGAUAGCCCGGCGAAAGUCGGAUUAAUACCCCAUAAAACAGGGGUCCCGCAUGGGAAUAUUUGUUAAAGAUUCAUCGCUGAUAGAUAGGCAUGCGUUCCAUUAGGCAGUUGGCGGGGUAACGGCCCACCAAACCGACGAUGGAUAGGGGUUCUGAGAGGAAGGUCCCCCACAUUGGUACUGAGACACGGACCAAACUCCUACGGGAGGCAGCAGUGAGGAAUAUUGGUCAAUGGCCGAGAGGCUGAACCAGCCAAGUCGCGUGAAGGAAGAAGGAUCUAUGGUUUGUAAACUUCUUUUAUAGGGGAAUAAAGUGGAGGACGUGUCCUUUUUUGUAUGUACCCUAUGAAUAAGCAUCGGCUAACUCCGUGCCAGCAGCCGCGGUAAUACGGAGGAUGCGAGCGUUAUCCGGAUUUAUUGGGUUUAAAGGGUGCGUAGGUGGUGAUUUAAGUCAGCGGUGAAAGUUUGUGGCUCAACC
Molecule: ribosomal RNA, 511 nt
Filed under: uncultured bacterium
Lineage: Bacteria
Description: bacterial SSU rRNA
Rfam family: Bacterial small subunit ribosomal RNA
Source: RNAcentral